This 250-nucleotide ribosomal RNA is filed under the name uncultured bacterium. Its description in RNAcentral is "partial 16S ribosomal RNA". It matches the Rfam family "Bacterial small subunit ribosomal RNA", at positions 524 to 773 of the family's 1533-position model. The record is from RNAcentral.
UACAGAGGGUGCAAGCGUUAAUCGGAAUUACUGGGCGUAAAGCGUGCGUAGGUGGUUUGUUAAGUCAGGCGUGAAAUCCCUGGGCUCAACCUGGGAACUGCGCUUGAUACUGGCAGACUCGAGUGUGGUAGAGGGUAGUGGAAUUCCGCAUGUAGCAGUGAAAUGCGUAGAUAUGCGGAGGAACACCAGUGGCGAAGGCGGCUACCUGGACCAACACUGACACUGAGGCACGAAAGCGUGGGGAGCAAAC